RNAcentral lists this ribosomal RNA (641 nucleotides) under uncultured bacterium. RNAcentral describes it as "bacterial SSU rRNA". It matches the Rfam family "Bacterial small subunit ribosomal RNA", at positions 43 to 687 of the family's 1533-position model. The record is from RNAcentral.
CGUGCUUAACACAUGCAAGUCGAACGCGAAAGGGACUUCGGUCCUGAGUAAAGUGGCGCACGGGUGAGUAACGCGUGGAUAAUCUACCCGACGAUCCGGGAUAACAUCUCGAAAGGGGUGCUAAUACCGGGUAAGACCACGGGCUCUUCGGAGCUUGCGGUAAAAGGUGGGGACCUUCGGGCCUACCGUCAUCGGAUGAGUCCGCGUACCAUUAGCUAGUUGGUGGGGUAAGAGCCUACCAAGGCGACGAUGGUUAGCUGGUCUGAGAGGAUGAUCAGCCACACUGGAACUGAGACACGGUCCAGACUCCUACGGGUGGCAGCAGUAGGGAAUAUUGGUUAAUGUGCGAAAGCGCGAACCAGCAACGCCGCGUGUGCGAUGAAGGCCUUCGGGUCGUAAAGCACUUUUUGCAGGGAAGAGGAAGGACGGUACCUGCAGAAUAAGUCUCGGCUAACUACGUGCCAGCAGCCGCGGUAAAACGUAGGAGACGAGCGUUAUCCGGAUUUACUGGGCGUAAAGCGCGUGCAGGCGGCAUGGCAAGUUGGAUGUGAAAGCUCCCGGCUUAACUGGGAGAGGUCGUUCAAUACUGCCAGGCUUGAGAGUGGUAGAGGGAAGCGGAAUUCCGGGUGUAGUGGUGAAAU